This is a long non-coding RNA of Polypterus senegalus (gray bichir), 1482 nucleotides long. RefSeq lists it as uncharacterized. The transcript has 3 exons. Lineage: Eukaryota; Metazoa; Chordata; Cladistia; Polypteriformes; Polypteridae. The record is from RefSeq and is a predicted model, not a curated record.
ACAUUGGGUUUGUAGACAACUGGGACCUCUUCUGGGAAAAGCUGCAUUUCUUCAAGCAGGAUGGUCUGCAUCCAAAUAGAUUUUGCGCUCGGGUCCUCUCCGAAAACCACACAUAAUGUCGGUCUGCUGUUUCCCUUGAACCUUCGACCACAGUUUUCUGGUGCCCAACGUGGGGCAGAGACGGACAGGUGACUCCUCAAGCGGGAUUGUCCAGAGGACCUGUAAGAGGACCAAUUCCGGCUGGAUCCGUAAAGCUCCAGAAAAAGUUAGGACUGGCCUGCCUUGUGCGAAUCCUGUGUGUGAUGUCUCUGGACCUCCUCCGAUUUUAUAUACGAAGGUCGAGUGAAACUGGGAGUUUCCCUAGCAGGAUGAGAAAAAUUUUUGUCUUACAGGUGUCCGAGCGUCCCUGAAGAAAGUCCAUGAGCAGGUUAAUCAGGCCUGGAGAACCAGUCUUCAAUCAAAGGACUCCCCGAUUCCCCUGGGAACCUGGAUCCUGGUUAGAGAUACUCGAACGAAGCACUGGCAUCAGCCUCGCUGGAGGACUCCAUUUCAAGUGCUACUAUCUACACCACAUGCAGUCGAAGGACUGCCUGCCUGGAUUCACGCUUCACAUUGCAAAAAAUGGGAAACAUAAUUUUGCUCCUUCUAACAUUUGCUAUUCCCCUGAUUGCAGGACAAAGGCAAACAGGUGGCGAUCGUCUAGUUUACCAACUUGAGAAAAUGCCUAAGAACUAAUACCACGCUUGCUUUCCAAGUGGGAACAACUGCCUCAUUUCAGAUUGACUUUUGCGAAAUGGUUCGGAUCAUGGGCUGGGUGGCUUAAGUCAUCUACAAAGGCUUAUUGACACUUCUGUUACGAAGUCCUAUUUUCUCUACUCCCAACAGUCUCAAGGGACCCCCACAGCCUCUCUGCUUUGCGAGUAUGAUGAGGCUGACCUCACUGAUUCUGUAUGUUUAUAAUGUGAACAUUUAAUGUUCAAAGGGGGGAAUUGAGAAAAAAAAAUCGUUAUUAAGCUAUAAUAUUGUAUGUAUUAAUGUACUAAUAAUCAAUAAGCCAUUGUUUAAACUGCCUCUGCUAAAUACAUGUAAGCUAAAAAAGUAACUUGCAACAUAUAUUUUUUAGAAAACUACUGACUUUUAGUCUGUUCUAAAGAAAGAAGACUGUUAAUCUGUUAGGAAAAGUCUGCAUGUUUUGUCUUAUCAGCAGCAAACAGGUAGUUCCAUUUCUGCUUUACUUAUUUUUUGAACAAAAUGUUGUAACCUUUGGGCAUAGUACUGAACCCCCCACCCCCAAAUAUGUUGUAAUAUCUCAUGCUAAAGCUGUCACUGUAAAAUGUAAGCAAGUCUGUUAUAAAAAGGGAACUCGCCCCCCCGCAAGAUUGGGCUUUUGCUGGUUACUGUCAGUGAUAUUGGCUGGCAGGGGCUGCAAGGGUGUCUCUGCUAACCAAUUAAUUAAUAAAGAAACUGUUAUUUUUGUUCUGA